Molecule: microRNA precursor, 126 nt
Filed under: Prunus persica (peach)
Lineage: Eukaryota; Viridiplantae; Streptophyta; Magnoliopsida; Rosales; Rosaceae
Description: miR6259 stem-loop (ppe-MIR6259)
Source: miRBase by way of RNAcentral
AAAGUUUUCUUUUUAUCGCCCAUAUUUUUCUAGACGUCCAUCUUAACAGUUUCUUUUUGUUCUUUUAUAGCGUGUAAACUGCUAAAAUGGAGGUUUAGAAAAAUACGGGCGAUAAAUGAAAACUCU